GCGAGUAUGGUUUAGUGGCAGAACGUUUGCUUCCCAAGCAAGAGACGCGGGUUCGAUUCCCGCUACUCGCA
This 71-nucleotide transfer RNA is filed under the name Candidatus Sungbacteria bacterium RIFCSPHIGHO2_01_FULL_50_25. Its description in RNAcentral is "tRNA-Gly". It matches the Rfam family "tRNA". From Rfam's summary of the family: Transfer RNA (tRNA) molecules are approximately 80 nucleotides in length. Their secondary structure includes four short double-helical elements and three loops (D, anti-codon, and T loops). The record is from RNAcentral. Lineage: Bacteria; Candidatus Sungiibacteriota.